Molecule: ribosomal RNA, 1398 nt
Filed under: uncultured bacterium
Lineage: Bacteria
Description: bacterial SSU rRNA
Rfam family: Bacterial small subunit ribosomal RNA
Source: RNAcentral
AGAGUUUGAUCCUGGCUCAGGAUGAACGCUAGCUACAGGCUUAACACAUGCAAGUCGAGGGGCAGCAUGGUCUUAGCUUGCUAAGGCCGAUGGCGACCGGCGCACGGGUGAGUAACACGUAUCCAACCUGCCGUCUACUCUUGGACAGCCUUCUGAAAGGAAGAUUAAUACAAGAUGGCAUCAUGAGUCCACAUGUUCACAUGAUUAAAGGUAUUCCGGUGGACGAUGGGGAUGCGUUCCAUUAGAUAGUAGGCGGGGUAACGGCCCACCUAGUCUUCGAUGGAUAGGGGUUCUGAGAGGAAGGUCCCCCACAUUGGAACUGAGACGCGGUCCAAACUCCUACGGGAGGCAGCAGUGAGGAAUAUUGGUCAAUGGGCGAGAGCCUGAACCAGCCAAGUAGCGUGAAGGAUGACUGCCCUAUGGGUUGUAAACUUCUUUUAUAAAGGAAUAAAGUCGGGUAUGCAUACCCGUUUGCAUGUACUUUAUGAAUAAGGAUCGGCUAACUCCGUGCCAGCAGCCGCGGUAAUACGGAGGAUCCGAGCGUUAUCCGGAUUUAUUGGGUUUAAAGGGAGCGUAGAUGGAUGUUUAAGUCAGUUGUGAAAGUUUGCGGCUCAACCGUAAAAUUGCAGUUGAUACUGGAUAUCUUGAGUGCAGUUGAGGCAGGCGGAAUUCGUGGUGUAGCGGUGAAAUGCUUAGAUAUCACGAAGAACUCCGAUUGCGAAGGCAGCCUGCUAAGCUGCAACUGACAUUGAGGCUCGAAAGUGUGGGUAUCAAACAGGAUUAGAUACCCUGGUAGUCCACACGGUAAACGAUGAAUACUCGCUGUUUGCGAUAUACAGCAAGCGGCCAAGCGAAAGCGUUAAGUAUUCCACCUGGGGAGUACGCCGGCAACGGUGAAACUCAAAGGAAUUGACGGGGGCCCGCACAAGCGGAGGAACAUGUGGUUUAAUUCGAUGAUACGCGAGGAACCUUACCCGGGCUUAAAUUGCAGAUGAAUUACGGUGAAAGCCGUAAGCCGCAAGGCAUCUGUGAAGGUGCUGCAUGGUUGUCGUCAGCUCGUGCCGUGAGGUGUCGGCUUAAGUGCCAUAACGAGCGCAACCCUUGUUGUCAGUUACUAACAGGUUCCGCUGAGGACUCUGACAAGACUGCCAUCGUAAGAUGUGAGGAAGGUGGGGAUGACGUCAAAUCAGCACGGCCCUUACGUCCGGGGCUACACACGUGUUACAAUGGGGGGUACAGAGGGCCGCUACCACGCGAGUGGAUGCCAAUCCCCAAAACCUCUCUCAGUUCGGACUGGAGUCUGCAACCCGACUCCACGAAGCUGGAUUCGCUAGUAAUCGCGCAUCAGCCACGGCGCGGUGAAUACGUUCCCGGGCCUUGCACACACCGCCCGUCAAG